This is a long non-coding RNA of Anopheles coluzzii, 2026 nucleotides long. RefSeq lists it as uncharacterized. The record is from RefSeq and is a predicted model, not a curated record. The transcript is spliced from 3 exons. Lineage: Eukaryota; Metazoa; Arthropoda; Insecta; Diptera; Culicidae.
CUGGAAUCAAUCGAUUAAUCGUUAAAAGAUUAUUAUUUUAAUCAAUAACUACAGGUUUAACAACUGUUCAUGAACAAAAAUCAAUUUCGAAAAUACCACUAGACAUUACAGAAAUGCACAAGAGAACUGGUUACCCACUUGACUAUCGCUAAAAACUUUCGCCGUACGUAUGAACAGCUGUCACAUUUAUGCUCACGGUUAAGCCGCCCGCCGGUUAAUCCGUCCCCGGAUAAUCGACGUUCUACUGUAUGUGUCAUUAUUUUGCACUACGACAUAAACAACGUGUAUGUUAUUACCCCGAACUCAUAAAACAUCACGAGGUUCUUAAAAAAAUCAAAGUUUAAUUUCUACAGCACUUUUAUUGCAAAUUACUUGAUUUGAAAUCCUGUGACACAUCGAAGAAGUUCGAACACUCAUUAUUUAAGAAUCAUUGUGAUACUAUUAUGAUAGUUAGGUAAAUAUACUCGUUUCAAUGAGGAUGGUAAAUUUUUACAACAUAUUUUUCAAUUGUUACAAAGGAAUAAUAGUGCUUGAUAAAUAAUGCAGCUUUAGUCAAUCAAAUUAAAGAUUUAUGUUAGUAGAAUAUUUCAAUGUAAAUGUACAAAUAGCGAAUAUGGUGGUGUAAAAAUGGUAUAUUUUAAAGGAACGUUUUUUUAUGGAUAUGCAGUUAUGAAAUUGUAUGGAUGAAAAAUAAAACAUCGAAAAACAUAAUACUAAUCAAUAAAGAAAGAAUUAUGUUGGACUAUCGAAAACAAGGUUAAAUAUGUUCAUUCGAAUCGUUCCGAGGUUUUAGUAAGGCUUGAAAGGAAGAGUAUGAAAUAUGAAUGAGACGGCUAGUUUAUUAGCUAGAUGCUGAAAGGGAUCAAAAACACAUUUCAAGUUUUUCGAGGUUUUACGUCCGUUAGUGAUAUAUGCGAAAAUGGACAAUACACACACGAACAUAAAUACAGUUAUAAACUUAACACUUUGACCGCCGGCCUGACGUCACAGUUUGCGAGUGAGCACGUAGCGCAUGACAAGAGAGCGAUGAGAGCGACAAUUGUUCGUGCGACUAUUAUCACUCUUUUGUUUCAUUUCGAUAAGCGGCGUAGCACAUGUCGUUCUCGUUCUCUCUUUCCCUCAUUCGUUAUCAAGAGAAUUGGUGAGCGUCAGAUACAGAGCUGAGCGGUGAACAAAGCGGUCGUGCGAUUUCAUAUGACGCGGCGCUUAAAGUGUUAACGGAUGCUUUAUUGCUAACCCAAGUAGCAACCGAAGCUUUUUUCUCCCAGUUUCAACCCCCUCAUGUCCACAAACUGCCUUCGCUUACUAUUCCUAUCCCGUUUCUACAUUCCACAACGUUUGUUGCGUUCUCGCUCAUCAGGGUGUUAGUCAAUUCUCUCUUGCCACACGAAGAGAAUUCUCCUGCACACUUCGUGUGUUGGAUUCUACCCAUCCCUGUUGAACAUACGUCAUUUUCUUCCAUCGCACUCAUCAGGGUGUUUGCUCUUUUCCAUCCAAGCCAAAGAGCGACUUCAGUGUGCUCUGAACCGUGGAUGUGAGAGUGUGUGUUUGUGUGCUGCGUGAACUAUUUUUCCUGCGUGAAACACUUUCCAUACUGCGCCAUCCGCGGUGUUCUUUCUGCUUCAUCGGAGGACGAAUUUUUAUCAUCUAAUUGUUUGGCUUCAGAUGUGUGCUGCUACCGCUAGCUGUUCCUCAAACUACUUAAAAAGUGUGACACUGUGUGCACAGGCGUUCAAGUUUCAAUUGAUCCUCAAGCACAAAGCCUUCAUACAACACCGCGGUUGAGGCGCGCCAAAUCUGAUGACAUCUUUCCUGAACCAAGCAGGCUGAACACGCGCACCACCACGGGCUCCAGCGCGGUGUGAAGAGGGAAGAAGAAAAGGCAGAAUUGGAAACAGCCGCACCAGGCUUCCAACCACCGUGUGUGUGUAUGUAAGUAUGUGAGAACACAUGUGUGAAUCCUCUUGUGGGAACUGCAAAAAGAAGAGAAUAAAGAGUGUGAAGCAGCUAGACUGCCGCAACCAAA